CUUGAGGUUAGGAACUGGGUCCGAUUAAAUGAUUUCUCCAGCACCCACACCACCCACUGUGGCCCAGUGGUCAUCUGGCACAAAAUAUAUUAAGAAUAUAAUUUUGAAUUUAAAAGGAGAGAGAACACAGGCGGUCCAUGGUGGUCAGAGUUCAACUGAUGUAUUGUAGGAAGGGAGAAUAGAGAGAAAAGGUCAUUUUAGAUUUCAUGCAAUUAUUCAGAAUAUAUUUACUAAGCGUUUGCUACGUGCCAGGCACUUUUCUAGGUAUUAAGAAUUCUGCGGUGACCAAAAUAAAAAUGUCAUCCUCAGAGAUCUUGCAUUCUAGUGGGCAAGGAAAACGAUUAACAAGGUAAAUAAGUAAAUGGUACACAAUGCCAGGUAAUGACAAGGAUAUGCAGGAGAAAAAUAACAGAAAAGGGAGAAAGGAAGGGGACGGAUACUUAGCGGUGCAAUUUUAUUUAGGGCGCCAGGUAACACCGAGUGAGCCCAUCUGAAAGAAACAUAAAGGCAGGCUAAGAAAUAAAGAAUUCAUUUUUUUGAACAAAAAACUAAUUUGCGCUGUACACUUUCACCUAAAGCACAGUUAAAAAAACAGUAUUUAUAUUGUCAAAAAAAAAAAUUUUAGAAAAAUCCAGAAUGGGGAGAGGAAACGAAUGCAAACUCGGUCUGUGGGGUGCAGCGAGGAACGGGAAGUGAAGCACGUUAGGGGAGGAAAGAAAGGAGCAAGAAUGCAGCACACCCUUUAACUUCACUUGAAACGAAUCAUGUUUCUUUUCCACUUGGCAAAAGGCAACGAUUGUGCGAUUUUUCAGAAAAAUCCCUUUCCAGAGAGAGCCACGCUAGAGCUCUCUCCGGCGAGGGACCGUCUUUCCCGCCCCUCCAUCAGGGUAACUGCCACUACGGCUUCUGAUUGGCUUGGUGUAGGCGCGUGCGCUGCGCCUAUUGGUCUCCGCGCCGGCCCGUAGACUAGCGGCCAUCUUGGGUCCCGCGCCUCCUGCAGCGCCCUCUGGGAGUUGUAGUCCCGCGCUCCCCUCGGUCCAGUUGCGGGACUUUUGGCGCUCAGCUCCGGGUUCCCUUAGGUGGUCACCCCAGUGGGCAAGGCCCAGGCGGCGCUCCUGCCCCGCGCUCCCUCCCUCUGCCUUUCACUUCCCAGCAGCCAAGAUCUCGGAAGCUUUGAAGCUGAGCAAAGGGAAAUCCAGUGAGAGCAGCCUGUAAAGGUAUCCCAGGGAUCACCCGCCCAUCCAGACCCUUGAUAAAAGCUUCGUGCAUCCUACCGCUGAGGACUUCCAGGAGCUGGCAGUCAUCUGAAAGACUUCAACUUUGAGGAAAUGUCAUUCAGAUUUGGCCAACAUCUCAUCAAGCCCUCUGUGGUGUUUCUCAAGACCGAGCUCUCCUUUGCCCUUGUUAACAGGAAGCCUGUGGUGCCAGGACGUAUCCUUUUUUUUUUCUGGUUGCUUGUUUUAAGAGAGGAAGAAUAAAAAGCUUUCAAACCUAACUGACCAAAUGAAUACAGGAUUGGCCUCGCAUGUCCGUCCAGAAAAGCGUCCAGUAGCUCUAUGCUGGCUGAAUUUAAAGUGAAACUGCCAACUUCAGGAUCAUACGGAUGAUUCCAGUGAAUGCAAUGUGACAAGCAAGUGCCUGCUGGAUUCCUGCCUGGUUAGUAUUACCAUGCACAGAGCCCAGCCUUGUCACCAUUUUCUCCCAGAUUUUUGGUAUCAUUUCUAAGUUGUAGUUUCCCAACUUCCCCCUCCGUGCUUUGUCAGUUACAGCCUCGUGUGAAGAGUUAUGAGUCAAGUCUAAAAGCAGUGAAUGGAUUGAUGGCAGAAGGGGAAAGAUUCCUUGCCACUCCCUCUACUUGUGAGUUGCUCAAUGGGCAAGUCGGUUUUCAAGGCAGUUUAUUGCCAUCUUUAUGUGAAAUGAAACAUUUUAUUUUGCGUUUUGGGUAAACUCUUUUUAAAAACUGUAUUCAGGGUGGCCUUUGGGGAGUGUGCCAUUCAUGAGAGGCUUGUAAAUGUCACCUUUGAACAUGUAUCCCCUCUAACAUUUUGCUUUCCCCUGCAACCCUUUUUUUCUGAUGACUUUGCUCACUGACUUUAUUUUUUAUCGCUUUCAGAGGAGGCAAAGAGCUGUCAAAUCGGGCUGAAGAUACGUUUUUGAAGCAAAAUUGUUUGCUUUAGUCUCAAAAGGGCCACUUCAGUCCCUCCUUCUCCCCAGCUAAAGCAAACACUUCUGCUCAUUGCAAACAGCAUUGAGAGCCAAUUGAAUGAAUAGGCUUUGGCCUCUGUGGUGUAACACUGUAGAAGGAUAUGUCAGAAUGUCUUUAAUCCGUUAAUUUCUUGUUACUGGAAAGCGCUCUUGCAGAAUGUCUUGGUGAGAGAACAGGUGUAUUUUGGAGAUUGUGUCUUCAUAAUUCUGCAGUGAACGUUUUAUUCACGGAUCUUGGUGCAGCCCCACUAUGGUUCAUGGCUUAAAUAAAUUCGAACCAAUACAUUAAUAUUUCUUCCCCCUCCGACUACCCCCUCCCCCCACCCCGCAUUGUGCUGUGUCUACCUUUCAUCUUGGGUUGAGCAUGAAACAUGGAUUUGAACAUUAGUGGAACUCAUCUGGGGACUGGGGCUUUUACUGUAAAUAAAAUGACUCAUUUGUUAUGUCCUGUUGUUUUCAGCAGACAGUAUAUUGAUCUUUGGGUUGCUAUUCAGAAUGGCAUAAGGAGCUUGAACAUAAGGGGAACACAGCAACAUUCGUGGACAAACUGAAUGUGGUGUGUAAUGACUAAGACAAACUCGGUUGCUGGCCAUACCAUAUUACACAAAUCAUUUGUCAACAGCUUAUCGAAUCAGUUAUUAAAAAGCAGCUUUUUUUUUUUUUUCCAACGAGAGCAUCGCACAGAAUGUUAUCAGGGCCAAACGAUGUUAGGAUGAUGCAUAGAGCAUAGCCUUACAAAGUGUAUUUAUAAAGAAUUAGACCAGGCAACUUAAAGGAUGUUUUGCUGACUCAUUCGAAGCCAAAGUUUGGUGCAAUGGAAACUGUGCUUUGCGAUCCAAACUCGAGAGAUAAAGGAGAGAACACUGACCAAUGUCUUUUAGAAUAAGAUUUUGCCUUUCCAAGUGGAGCAGUAUUUAGUUUUCUCUGUUUUCUGACUAUUGCCAUGCAGAAUAUUCCUGAAAUCAAUGAAAAAAUAACAAAAAUUGCUUCAUUACUUACAGCGAUUUUUACGGAAUAGAUGCUAUAGAUAAAAAUGCCCUUUUAGUCCUUCUGUAAAAAGCAGGAAUAUUUGUCAUUUCCUGAGGAGGUUAUAGUCUUGUGAAUUCCCUUAAUUGUUCAGGAAACUGCAGUUAUUAGUGAUCUGAUGAUCUUUUAUUUCCAAAAGAGUUUCUUUUUAAACCUUCCUGUGCAAAUAAAAUGCAUGCAAACACUAUUUUAGCGUUUUUAUUGCUAAAGAUAGAUUUUGGCUCUUAAAGUUGCCCUAAGCACAUGUCUUUUCCCCCCUUGUGCCUGCUUACUGUAUAUUGUUGUUGUUGUUGCCGUUAGGUGCCAUCGAGUCAGUUCCGACUCAUAGCGACCCUAUGCACAACAGAACGAAACACUGCCCGGUCCUGCACCACCCUUACAAUCGUUGUUAUGCUUGAGUUCAUUGUUGCAGCCACUGUGUCAAUCCACCUCGUGGAGAGUCUUCCUCUUUUCCACUGACCCUGUUCUCUGCCAAGCAUGAUGUCCUUCUCCAGGGACUGAUCCCUCCUGACAACAUGUCCAAAGUAUGUAAGAUGCAGUCUCGCCAUCCUUGCCUCUAAGGAGCAUUCUGGCCGCACUUCUUCCAAGAUGGAUUUGUUCCUUCUUUUGGCAGUCCGUGGUAUAUUCAAAAUUCUUUGCCAACACUGCAAUUCAAAGGCGUCAACUCUUCUUCGGUCUUCCUUAUUCAUUGUCCAGCUUUCACAUGAAUAUGAUGUGAUUGAAAAUACCAUGGCUUGGGUCAGGCGCACCUUAGUCUUCAGGGUGACUGCUGUAUAUUAGCUAGCUUAAAAUACUCUUGGGGAGAUGUUUAAAGACCUUCUCGCCAUCCUUUGCCCUAAGCUCUAAUGGGGUGAGUUGAUUUUCUUGUGGUUGGAUUUUCUUUUCUGGGCUUUAUUUGGCAGAUCAUCAUGUUCAAAGGAUAUGCAUAUAGCUGUGAUUGCUCAUUUAAUCCCCCCCACCCCCAUUUCUAUGGAAGAAGUCUACAUAAAUGUGCACCUACCCUUAAGUUAUUAGAGGAUGUUGCCACCAGCUAUAGGGCCGCCAUGAGUCAGAAUCAACUCAACAGCUAGAACAAAAUUUUUUUUUUUUUUUGGUGCCCAUAGGUUUUUUUUUUAAUUGUGCUUUAAGUGAAAGUUUACAAAUCAAGUUAGUCUCUCAUACAAAAACUUAUACACGCCUUGCUAUGUACUCCUAGCUGCUCUCCCCCUAAUGAGACAGCACACUCCUCCUCUACACCCUGUAUUCCCUGUGUCCAUUCAACCAGGUCCUGUCCCCCUCUGCCUUGCCAUAUCGCCUCCAGGCUGCAGCAGCCCACAUAGUCUCAUAUGUCUACUUGAACCAAGAAGCUCACUCCUCACCAGUAUCAUUUUCUGUCCUAUAGUCCAGUCCAAUCCCUGUCUGAAGAGUUGGCCUGGGGAAUCCAGUCUUGGGCUAACAGAGGGCCAUGACCUCUGGGGUCCCUCCAGUCUCAGUCAGACCGUUAAGCCUAGUCUUUUUACAAGAGUUUGAGGUCUGCAUCCCGCUGUUCUCCUUCUCUGUCAGGGAUUCUCUGUUGUGUUCCCUGUCAGGGCAGUCGUGGGUGGUAGCUGGGUACCAUCUAUUUCUUCUGGUCUUAGAACCAACUUUUGAUGGCAUUGGUCAGCAGGAACAAAGGAAGCUCUUGGAUGCUUUCAUCCUUCUCUAAG
Loxodonta africana (African savanna elephant) is the source of this 4916-nucleotide long non-coding RNA. RefSeq lists it as uncharacterized. The record is from RefSeq and is a predicted model, not a curated record. Lineage: Eukaryota; Metazoa; Chordata; Mammalia; Proboscidea; Elephantidae. The transcript is spliced from 5 exons.